Armigeres subalbatus is the source of this 884-nucleotide long non-coding RNA. RefSeq lists it as uncharacterized. The transcript is spliced from 2 exons. Lineage: Eukaryota; Metazoa; Arthropoda; Insecta; Diptera; Culicidae. The record is from RefSeq and is a predicted model, not a curated record.
UAUCUUGCCCUUGAACCAAGCAUGAUCAUGCAAGUGUGUGUGCUCCCGGUACACUAAUACUGCCAAACAAUCAAGCGGUUCAACUGUCAAAACCUCGCGCUUUUUUCGUCGCCAUAUUUUUUCACCAAGUCGAGUCGAGUGUCCUCAGUUCGGCAGUUCGAAGAUGGUUCUGGUGAUUCGGAUUUCGUUUGAUCCGGGAGAAUUUUUCACUUGUGCUUUUGCAUUGGAACUCGACGCCAUCUUUUCCAUUCGCAAUUGCAGUUUUCGUGCAGAAACGGGAUUCGGACGAAUAUCCAGCUGUAAUUCCGAUGGAAUAAUGGAGAUUUCUAGUGAAUGUCACGGAUCGGAUAUGCAGUAAUUAUUUAAAGAGAAACAAGGGACCGGUAGCUGAAUUGUCCGACUUAGGAACAACUUACCUCUUCGGGUAUGGUCGCUCAUACAAAUGGAUCGAAACGCGUCUCUUAUUCAUCGACGCCGCCAAGACCUUGAUACGUGAAGUGCAUUCAACGUUUUUUUACUCACGUCAAGGGCCCUCCGGGAAGUAUCGUCGCGUGAAUGGCGUGGUGGUGGCCGCGACAGAAUAAGAAUGUGUAGUAUAGCAGGAGCAUGCACAAAAAACAAAGACUUCCCAUCAGCCGUAAUGAUAUCGAAGAGUUCUGCAAACGUCCAUCUGAUCUAAAGCAGCCCAACGGAAUUUCCAUUCCAUGCGAUGAUUACUUCUACCGCCAGUUUAAGUCAAGUGCCCGACAAUCGAAUUUAUAGCGGAGAAACUUCUACCUAGACAACGGAUAUGGUUAUGAUUAAUAUUAUAUUAUUUAUUUACAUAUUUGCAUAUAGUCAUAAUGUUUUCAUGUACUAUAUAAGAAAUAAAACAUUUUUUCAUA